GUAGGUGGCAAGCGUUGUCCGGAAUUAUUGGGCGUAAAGCGCGCGCAGGUGGUUCUUUAAGUCUGAUGUGAAAGCCCCCGGCUCAACCGGGGAGGGUCAUUGGAAACUGGGGAACUUGAGUGCAGGAGAGGAAAGUGGAAUUCCACGUGUAGCGGUGAAAUGCGUAGAUAUGUGGAGGAACACCAGUGGCGAAGGCGACUUUUCUGGCCUGUAACUGACACUGAGGCGCGAAAGCGUGGGGAGCAAACAGGGAUUAGAUACCCUGGUAGUCCACGCCGUAAACGAUGAGUGCUAAGUGUUGGGGGGGUUUCCGCCCCCUCAGUGCUGCAGCUAACGCAUUAAGCAUCCGCCCUGGGAGUACGGUCGCAAGACUG
RNAcentral lists this ribosomal RNA (374 nucleotides) under uncultured organism. Its description in RNAcentral is "partial 16S ribosomal RNA". It matches the Rfam family "Bacterial small subunit ribosomal RNA", at positions 527 to 896 of the family's 1533-position model. The record is from RNAcentral.